CGGGACGUAGCUCAGUUUGGUAGAGCACCUGGUUUGGGACCAGGGGGUCGCAGGUUCGAAUCCUGUCGUCCCGA
Molecule: transfer RNA, 74 nt
Organism: Weissella paramesenteroides ATCC 33313
Lineage: Bacteria; Bacillati; Bacillota; Bacilli; Lactobacillales; Lactobacillaceae
Rfam family: tRNA
About the family: Transfer RNA (tRNA) molecules are approximately 80 nucleotides in length. Their secondary structure includes four short double-helical elements and three loops (D, anti-codon, and T loops).
Source: Rfam